CCUGGCUCAGGACGAACGCUGGCGGCACGCUUAACACAUGCAAGUCGAACGAGAGAAGAGAAGCUUGCUUUUCUGAUCUAGUGGCGGACGGGUGAGUAACACGUGAGCAAUCUGCCUUUCAGAGGGGGAUACCGAUUGGAAACGAUCGUUAAUACCGCAUAAUAUAAUUGAACCGCAUGAUUUGAUUAUCAAAGAUUUAUCGCUGAAAGAUGAGCUCGCGUCUGAUUAGCUAGUUGGUAAGGUAACGGCUUACCAAGGCGACGAUCAGUAGCCGGACUGAGAGGUUGAUCGGCCACAUUGGGACUGAGACACGGCCCAGACUCCUACGGGAGGCAGCAGUGGGGAAUAUUGCACAAUGGAGGAAACUCUGAUGCAGCGAUGCCGCGUGAGGGAAGAAGGUUUUAGGAUUGUAAACCUCUGUCUUCAGGGACGAAAAAAGACGGUACCUGAGGAGGAAGCUCCGGCUAACUACGUGCCAGCAGCCGCGGUAAUACGUAGGGAGCGAGCGUUGUCCGGAAUUACUGGGUGUAAAGGGAGCGUAGGCGGGAUCGCAAGUCAGAUGUGAAAACUAUGGGCUUAACCCAUAAACUGCAUUUGAAACUGUGGUUCUUGAGUGAAGUAGAGGUAAGCGGAAUUCCUAGUGUAGCGGUGAAAUGCGUAGAUAUUAGGAGGAACAUCAGUGGCGAAGGCGGCUUACUGGGCUUUAACUGACGCUGAGGCUCGAAAGCGUGGGGAGCAAACAGGAUUAGAUACCCUGGUAGUCCACGCCGUAAACGAUGAUUACUAGGUGUGGGGGGACUGACCCCUUCCGUGCCGCAGCAAACGCAAUAAGUAAUCCACCUGGGGAGUACGACCGCAAGGUUGAAACUCAAAGGAAUUGACGGGGGCCCGCACAAGCAGUGGAGUAUGUGGAUUAAUUCGAAGCAACGCGAAGAACCUUACCAGGUCUUGACAUCGUAUGCAUAGCUCAGAGAUGAGUGAAAUCUCUUCGGAGACAUAUAGACAGGUGGUGCAUGGUUGUCGUCAGCUCGUGUCGUGAGAUGUUGGGUUAAGUCCCGCAACGAGCGCAACCCUUACUGUUAGUUGCUACGCAAGAGCACUCUAGCAGGACUGCCGUUGACAAAACGGAGGAAGGUGGGGAUGACGUCAAAUCAUCAUGCCCCUUAUGACCUGGGCCUCACACGUACUACAAUGGCUGUCAACAGAGGGAAGCAAAGCCGCGAGGUGGAGCGAACCCCUAAAAGCAGUCUUAGUUCGGAUUGUAGGCUGCAACCCGCCUACAUGAAGUCGGAAUUGCUAGUAAUCGCAGAUCAGCAUGCUGCGGUGAAUACGUUCCCGGGCCUUGUACACACCGCCCG
Molecule: ribosomal RNA, 1358 nt
Filed under: uncultured bacterium
Lineage: Bacteria
Description: bacterial SSU rRNA
Rfam family: Bacterial small subunit ribosomal RNA
Source: RNAcentral